GAUCAUGGCUCAGAUUGAACGCUGGCGGCAUGCCUUACACAUGCAAGUCGAACGGUAACGCGGGGCAACCUGGCGACGAGUGGCGAACGGGUGAGUAAUACAUCGGAACGUGCCCAGUAGUGGGGGAUAGCCCGGCGAAAGCCGGAUUAAUACCGCAUACGACCUACGGGUGAAAGCGGGGGAUCGCAAGACCUCGCGCUAUUGGAGCGGCCGAUGUCAGAUUAGCUAGUUGGUGGGGUAAAAGCCUACCAAGGCGACGAUCUGUAGCUGGUCUGAGAGGACGACCAGCCACACUGGGACUGAGACACGGCCCCAGACUCCUACGGGAGGCAGCAGUGGGGAAUUUUGGACAAUGGGCGCAAGCCUGAUCCAGCCAUGCCGCGUGAGUGAAGAAGGCCUUCGGGUUGUAAAGCUCUUUCGGCCGGGAAGAAAUCGCAUGGGUUAAUACCCUGUGUGGAUGACGGUACCGGAAUAAGAAGCACCGGCUAACUACGUG
RNAcentral lists this ribosomal RNA (496 nucleotides) under uncultured bacterium. RNAcentral's name for it is "bacterial SSU rRNA". It matches the Rfam family "Bacterial small subunit ribosomal RNA", at positions 15 to 507 of the family's 1533-position model. The record is from RNAcentral.